AGCAUUAAGUAGCAAAGUUAAUAAGUCGGUAUUACCGACCGUCCCUAGAGCAAAUGGCAAAGAAUUUGCUAGUUGGUACCCGAGACCUAAGUUCGAAUCCUAAUUGAUUCACAUUUCUAGCUAAGUUUAUUUCUAAAUGAAAUAAACGAAGCGGAUAGCGUGUUACCUAUCUCUCAAAAUAGAAAAAAAGUCGGUAUCUGGUAGUUGAUCUAAUAAGUCUGAGAUUCGAGCAUUCAUUUGUGUGUAUUUGUGUGUUACCUAUCUCUCAAAAAAAAAAAAAAAAGUCAGUAUCUGAUAGUUGAUCUAAUAAGUCUGAGAUUCGAGCAUUCAUAUGUGCGUUUAUUAGUGAAGCGUUUUGAGUUUUCGGCUUUUUGAAUAAAAAAAUAUCUAUAUUUGGGAAAGAUUGUUUGA
RNAcentral lists this long non-coding RNA (411 nucleotides) under Ananas comosus (pineapple). RNAcentral describes it as "long non-coding RNA (ACOM_LNC006204)". The record is from RNAcentral. Lineage: Eukaryota; Viridiplantae; Streptophyta; Magnoliopsida; Poales; Bromeliaceae.